RNAcentral lists this long non-coding RNA (1660 nucleotides) under Helianthus annuus (common sunflower). Its description in RNAcentral is "hypothetical non coding rna". The record is from RNAcentral. Lineage: Eukaryota; Viridiplantae; Streptophyta; Magnoliopsida; Asterales; Asteraceae.
AACGCUGAGAAUUCAAAAACCCUAAUUAUCAUCUUCUUCAAUUCUCUGGCGAUUUCAUACUUCUUCAAUUGUCUCAAACACAAAAACUCUAAUCCAGGUUGAGAGAAAAGAGAUAAUCGGGAGACGAGAUAAAUAAUCAAUUCAUCGAAGCUUCUAUUGUCAUUCUAAUCUGUUAGUUCACUUAUUCUUGAUGCUUGGCAGCAUACCUUGCAGUGGAGGAGGUAAGUACUUUGUGAUUCACGCCUGUCAAAAAAUCGUUACAGUUGAAGGUUCGACCUUCAAUUGUGGUCCAGAAGUGCAUACUAUGGUUUAGACUUGGUUUAUUUUUUUAGCCAACUGAUUAGGUACGUGAAACGAGCCCUACUUUUUAUAAUAAGUUAACAACUCGAGCACGUUAAUGACUGCCGAAUGCGACUGUGGAAGUGCAGUUUGGGAGCAGUUGAUCGUGCGCACAAAAUAUACUUCUAUGUAUCUUGGCUGGCAACCCGCUAUGGCUAUAUAUGCUUCAACUUCUUAACAAAGAUGAACAAGUUUGUCACAAAUCAGGGUGGGUGAGCAUGAAUUCACUGAAAAAGGGUUCAAUGAGAAUGGUGGUUGAUUUCAAACUUGAGCAUAAUGUCACAAAGCUUGUCAUGGGAGCAAGUGUAGAUAGUCAAUAUUCAAGGUCAAAUAAAAAAAUCAACUAAAAGGAAAAACAGGUCAAAUGCGUUGACAUGUAACAUAUUAGCGGAACCACCACUUUUCUUUUCAUUCUAUUGGAUGUUUUGUUUCAGACCUGAUGAAGUAGAAAGGCCUAAAGUCGUUUUGGACAUCUUCAUGGGACCCUCAAAAACCAAUGUCCUCUGGUGGAGAAACCGACCAAGACAAGCUUGAAGCCACAAAGAGGAAUCUUCAAGAACUUCUGUCCACGACAGUUAUCCAUGGAUCAAGAGCGGGUGCUGUUGUCGGUGCUGUUAGAAGGGUUGCUGGAGCUGAUUUUAGGAAUGGUUCUUGAACAAAGCUUGCAUCAUUCAAAAUCCAAAUUCCAGUCGGAUCCUUUGCAUUUUUCACAAUUGCGGUUUUUGCCCUUUUAGUAGUUCAUUCUUUUGGUUCAAAGAAACAUCUCUUAACAAUGUGUUUAUUCUUCCUUCACUAUGGACCUCUCUCCAUUAGAGUAUCAGAUUAAAUUCCAAAUAAUUAUCAAAGCUGAGAGGAGUCAUUCAUUCCUCAUGGUGAUCAAAAGAGAGACAAGGAAUUUUUUUUGUUAGAGGCCUUUGCUUCUCCGAGUGUGUACAAAAAUUGAAGCUCUGCACACCAGCUACAAAGACCCUAAAUAGGGGUAUAUCCGAAUUUGUUGUGAUGUCUAUAGAUGCUUAACCUCUUGAAAUUCUUCUCUAUCUUCCCCUCCUUGCUGAAGAUAAGGUUGUCUUGCAUUUAUACGGUGGAAAUAAAAGCCACAUGAGCCAGUAGGAGAGUUUUUCAGCUUCUUGAUUUUGUUUUUUUAAUGCUAGAAGCAUAAAAGAAAUGUCCUUUGGGGUUAGUUUUGUAAUUUAUGAUUAGUCUUAUACUCAAAAGGAAGAGUAGGCUGUUUAGGCUACUUUUCUUAUAAUAUUUAUUAGAAGGUAACACUUACAAUAAAAAUUAAGGGAAGAAUGAGGGCAUUAUUAUCAUGUAUAUUUUU